This is a long non-coding RNA of Corythoichthys intestinalis (scribbled pipefish), 1669 nucleotides long. RefSeq lists it as uncharacterized. The record is from RefSeq and is a predicted model, not a curated record. The transcript has 3 exons. NCBI's taxonomy places the organism in Eukaryota, Metazoa, Chordata, Actinopteri, Syngnathiformes, Syngnathidae.
AUUUAGUGCCAUGUCUGUCAUUUUGCAUCUAGUUAUAUCUAUGUACAGUACAUGUGAUAUCUAUCAUGUCUACCAUAUCUACCAUAACAUGCGCGCGUAGUUUGUACUAGCUAUCGGCUACAACAUGUAUUAUUGGAGCUACCUAGCAUCGCGUUUGCUCGGCGUCACAACUUUCUUGCCUCCUCCAUACUCCUGCUCUGUCGUCUCGGCAAUUGGUUGCGAAUCGACGGACCUGAUUCCGUAAGGACAGGUGAAGCAUGUGUCCGGGUUCCGGCGAUCCGCCUGCAUCUGAAGCAGCUUCCCCAGGAGUUUAACCAGCCCCUGGAUGUCCCUGAGGACGACUCGAGUGAUAACCAGCACAAGUUCGGCGUGGCCUUGAUCCACCAGCAACACAAUGCUGUCGCAGCAGGUCGAGCGUACCGGAUCGCAAUCGUUGCAGCACUGCUCCCACAAAGUCUCCAGGGCUGAACCCUGACGGAAACACCACAACAACUUCUCGCGUUCAAAAAAAUCCACAGAUCUGUCCAUUUUCUACGUCUGUUCAGAGUUGAACCUACGCUAUCGCUACACAACUCGAAGAAAUUUUCACCUUUGUGGAAGACUGGCUGAUUUUUCCAUUCUGGUCUUUCUCUUUAAGCACAGCAGCGACAAGCCUUCUCAGUGCCUGUGGUCAGAAUCAUUUUAGCAGAAUACCGAAUUUUACCUUCACCAUAAAUGUUUUUCAUUUUACCUGGGCUUGUACAAUUGGAUUAGGGAAGUCAAGCCGGAUCUUUAAGGCUUCCAUCGUGCCUACGAAAGCAGUACAAUCUAUCAUAAAAUUAUCUUGCAGCAUGGUCACAUGGGUUUUGGUCCCGCCCUCCCAUUUAAAACACCAGUAUCAGGUGUCCGCCUGUGAAAUGCAAGUGAUGCAGCCACCUGUUGCCUCACAAAACGAUUGUGAGGAUGGUGUACAACUUUAGGGCCUUUGAAAGUUGAUCCCUGCACAGUGUAGUCAGGUUAUCAGCUUGAAACUGUAACAUAUUUCAAAAUGACACAAGCAAUCUAAAAAGGUCUCCGUCUAAUUAAAAUUCGGUUGCUCCAUGCACAUGUAAGAUGAUAUAAGGGUUUAACCUUACUAGAAACAGGCAAAAGGCCUGAGCCCAGCACCCACCCAGGACCCACACAACCCAACCCACCCCUUCAACUGUUAUCUAUGUGAUAAGCCAGUUUGCUCGACGGUCCAGCAACAGCAGCAUCGCGUCAGCUCACCGCCAAGCUUUUUGCCAAGCGAUAUGAGCAGGUAAGUCUGCUGCACCUGCUCCGAAAGAACAUUCCGCCGAGAACGAAGCAGCUUACAAAUGAUCCUUCUUGCGUCCCUGCUGGUUUAAAUCUUCAAUUUUGGUCAGUAAAACCUCCAAGCGUUUGUUCCAGUGCAUUUUUCCCAUACUGCUGAACAAUAUGGACCUGCAACUGCAAAGGUCUGCAGUAGCCACAGAAGGGAGGACAAUGCUGCAGUACUUGUUGAGCCAACAGAGCUUUAGAAAGGACCAAAACCAGGCUUUGCUCAGCACCCUUUCAGGUGAUGCAACGGGCCACCACCAUAAGUGUUUUUCAAGCUAAAACACUAAAUAUUUGACAAUUCAGGCUCCUUGAACGCAGUUUUAUUCAUUUUGCGAGUUAGCUGCCAUUG